Molecule: long non-coding RNA, 396 nt
Filed under: Bos taurus (domestic cattle)
Lineage: Eukaryota; Metazoa; Chordata; Mammalia; Artiodactyla; Bovidae
Description: long non-coding RNA NONBTAT021738
Source: RNAcentral
ACUGGCCUGAGAUAUCAAGGAAAGUGAGAGAGCUAACAUAGCUUAAUUUUAUUAAGAAUUUGGAUUCUGUCCAACACAGAACCUGACACUAGAAAAUGUGACUUAGAUCACCACCCACUCUAUUAAAAUCGCAUCACACUAUUUGCUAGGAAUGAUUGAUCAUGUAUCUGGGUAAGAUGUCCUUCAUUUCUAUUUAUUUGCAUUCCUCUUCCUCCAUCUUUGAGAACUAAGUUUAGUAAUCAAAGUUUAGAGAUGAAGUUACUUAGAAUGACUUUUCAUAUCCACCCUGAUACCUCUUUCAGAUAUUUUCUAAUAUUCUUUUAAAGUAUAAAAGAAAUUGAAGGCUAUCAAUCACCAUCAUGGGAAAAUAGUUGGUUCCAAGACUGAACAGUGCAA